GUAGGAGCCAAGCGUUAUCCGAAUUCACUGGGCGUAAAGCGCGUGCAGGCGGCUGGGUAAGUUGGAUGUGAAAUCUUCUGGCUCAACUGGGAGAGGCCGUUCAAUACUACCUGGCUCGAGGGCGACAGAGGGAGGUGGAAUUCCGGGUGUAGUGGUGAAAUGCGUAGAUAUCCGGAGGAACACCAGAGGCGAAGGCGACCUCCUGGGUCGUACCUGACGCUCAGACGCGAAAGCUAGGGGAGCGAACGGGAUUAGAAACCCCGGUAGUCCUAGCCGUAAACGAUGUAGACUGGGUGUCGGCGGGGUAAAAGCCGUCGGUGCCGAAGCCAACGCGAUAAGUCUACCGCCUGGGGACUACGGCCGCAAGGUUAAA
RNAcentral lists this ribosomal RNA (373 nucleotides) under uncultured bacterium. Its description in RNAcentral is "bacterial SSU rRNA". It matches the Rfam family "Bacterial small subunit ribosomal RNA", at positions 527 to 898 of the family's 1533-position model. The record is from RNAcentral.